UGCCCUAUCCAUUUGGGGUAAUCCUACCACAGCCUGCGUCGCUGGUAACGGCGGGGUGGGAAGCCUGUGGGACAACGUGGGAAAGCUGCGAGCCUAACGUAGCCGUACUG
Molecule: non-coding RNA, 110 nt
Filed under: Flavonifractor plautii DSM 6740
Lineage: Bacteria; Bacillati; Bacillota; Clostridia; Eubacteriales; Oscillospiraceae
Source: RNAcentral